ACCAAUAAGCGUUGAAAAGCUUCUGGAUGAGCCGAGUGUAGGAGUGAAAGGCCAAUCAAACUUGGAGAUAGCUCGUACUCCCCGAAAGGCAUUUAGGUGCCGCGUCGGAUGGUCACCGUGAGAGGUAGAGCGACCGAUAGGACGAGAGGGCUUCACCGCCUAUCGAGUCCUGACGAACUCCGAAUGCUCGCGGUCCGCAGUCUGGCAGUAAGGGGGCGGGUGCUAAGGUCCGUCCCCGAGAGGAGAAGAAUCCUGACCGUCGUCUAAGGUCCCGAAAUUCUGUCUAAGUUAGUCUAACGAGGUCUGGUCUCAGUGACAGCUAGGAUGUUGGCUUGGAAGCAGCCAUUCAUUCAAAGAGUGCGUAACAGCUCACUAGUCGAGAGACCGGGCAUGGAUAAUAAUCGGGUAUUAAGUCAGAUACCGAAGGCACGGGGUAGCAGAGCAAUGAAAAGUACCGGUAGGGGAGCAUUCCACCUCCGUCGAAUGGUUUCCGUGAGGAUUCCUGGAGGGCGUGGAAAAGCAAAUGUAGGCAUAAGUAACGACUAGGGGCGUGAGAACCGCCCCCGCCGCAAGUCUAAGGUUUCCCGGGCGAUGCCAGUCAGCCCGGGGUCAGUCGGGUCCUAAGGCUCAGCCGAACGGCGAGGCCGAUGGCAGACACGGUUAAUAUUCCGUGACCCUCUGCUGGAGCGACGUGGAGACGGAGCAGUGACACCACCGCGCCCUGACGGAAUAGGGCGUUGAAGGCCGUAGGUGCUGAUGGAGGCAGGCAAAUCCACCUCCAGAGCUGAAAGCCGACAGUACGCUUCCUCCUCCGGGAGGCGGCGAUAGCGUGGGUAACCAUACUUCCUAGAAAAUCCGCUAAGCAUAUCCAUUGGAGGCCCGUACCGCAAUCCGACACAGGUAGACGGGUAGAACAUACUGAGGCGUUGGGAGAUUCAUGGCUAAGGAACUAGGCAAACUGACCCCGUAACUUCGGGAUAAGGGGUCCUCACGGCAACGUGAGGCGCAGAGAAUAGGCCCAGGCAACUGUUUAACAAAAACACAGGGCUGUGCAAACUCGAAAGAUGAUGUAUACAGCCUGACACCUGCCCGGUGCCGGAAGGUUAAGAGGAGGAGUCAGCCCCUUGUGGGUGAAGCCCCGAGUUGAAGCCCCGGUAAACGGCGGCCGUAACUAUAACGGUCCUAAGGUAGCGAAAUUCCUUGUCGGGUAAGUUCCGACCUGCACGAAUGGUGUAAUGAUCCGGACGCUGUCUCAACCGUGAGCCCAGUGAAAUUGUAGUAUCGGUGAAGAUGCCGAUUACCCGCGAUGGGACGAAAAG
RNAcentral lists this ribosomal RNA (1319 nucleotides) under human gut metagenome. Its description in RNAcentral is "bacterial LSU rRNA". It matches the Rfam family "Bacterial large subunit ribosomal RNA", at positions 778 to 2087 of the family's 2925-position model. The record is from RNAcentral.